RNAcentral lists this ribosomal RNA (306 nucleotides) under uncultured bacterium. Its description in RNAcentral is "bacterial SSU rRNA". It matches the Rfam family "Bacterial small subunit ribosomal RNA", at positions 9 to 303 of the family's 1533-position model. The record is from RNAcentral.
GAGUUUGAUCGUGGCUCAGGACGAACGCUGGCGGCGUGCCUAAUACAUGCAAGUCGAGCGAACCAAUAAGAAGCUUGCUUUUUGUUGGUUAGCGGCGGACGGGUGAGUAACACGUGGGUAACCUGCCUGUAAGAUCGGGAUAACUCCGGGAAACCGGUGCUAAUACCGGAUAGAUUAUCUUUCCGCCUGGAGAGAUAAGGAAAGAUGGCUUUUGCCAUCACUUACAGAUGGGCCCGCGGCGCAUUAGCUAGUUGGUGAGGUAAUGGCUCACCAAGGCGACGAUGCGUAGCCGACCUGAGAGGGUGA